GAUGAAGAACGCAGCGAAAUGCGAUAAGUAAUGUGAAUUGCAGAAUUCAGUGAAUCAUCGAAUCUUUGAACGCACAUUGCGCCCGCCAGUAUUCUGGCGAGCAUGCCUGUUCGAGCGUCAUUUCAACCAUCAAGCCCCAGGCUUGUGUUGGAGCCCUGCGGCUGCCGCAGCCUCCCAAAACCAGUGGCGGGCUCGCUAUCACACCGAGUGCAGUAGUUUACUCUUCGCUCAGGGCGUGUGGCGGGUGCUAGCCGUGAAACCCCCAACUUCUCAAGGUUGACCUCGGAUCAGGUAGGAAUACCCGCUGAACUUAAGCAUAUCAAUAGCGGAGGA
Molecule: unclassified non-coding RNA, 333 nt
Filed under: soil metagenome
Description: partial contains 5.8S ribosomal RNA, internal transcribed spacer 2, and large subunit ribosomal RNA
Rfam family: 5.8S ribosomal RNA (bases 1-120)
Source: RNAcentral